This 301-nucleotide ribosomal RNA is filed under the name uncultured bacterium. RNAcentral's name for it is "partial 16S ribosomal RNA". It matches the Rfam family "Bacterial small subunit ribosomal RNA", at positions 509 to 807 of the family's 1533-position model. The record is from RNAcentral.
CAGUCGCCGCGGUAAUACGAAGGGGGCUAGCGUUGCUCGGAAUGACUGGGCGUGAAGGGCGCGUAGGCGGCGAUCAAAGUCAGGCGUGAAAUUCCUGGGCUCAACCUGGGGGCUGCGCUUGAUACUUGGUUGCUUGAGUGGGGUAGAGGGUCGUGGAAUUCCCAGUGUAGAGGUGAAAUUCGUAGAUAUUGGGAAGAACACCGGUGGCGAAGGCGGCGACCUGGUCCUUGACUGACGCUGAGGCGCGAAAGCGUGGGGAGCAAACAGGAUUAGAUACCCCAGUAGUCCCUGUCUCUUAUAC